This is a non-coding RNA of Xylaria castorea, 124 nucleotides long. The record is from the annotation of a GenBank genome assembly. Lineage: Eukaryota; Fungi; Ascomycota; Sordariomycetes; Xylariales; Xylariaceae.
UCUCGAUUGGUCUAGUGGUAAGGAUACCUGCUUGUCAUUCCAGUAGCGAUUCGAUUCACUUUGUGGAUUAGUCCAGCUAUGGAACAAGCCGCAGGUGGCCGGGGUUCGAUUCCCCGAUCGAGAG